AUCAACUUCCGAAAAUACAUCAU
This 23-nucleotide non-coding RNA is filed under the name Arabidopsis thaliana (thale cress). The record is from RNAcentral. Lineage: Eukaryota; Viridiplantae; Streptophyta; Magnoliopsida; Brassicales; Brassicaceae.